RNAcentral lists this ribosomal RNA (836 nucleotides) under Ceratocystis papillata. RNAcentral describes it as "eukaryotic LSU rRNA". It matches the Rfam family "Eukaryotic large subunit ribosomal RNA", at positions 76 to 929 of the family's 3401-position model. Lineage: Eukaryota; Fungi; Ascomycota; Sordariomycetes; Microascales; Ceratocystidaceae. The record is from RNAcentral.
UGCCCUAGUAACGGCGAGUGAAGCGGCAACAGCUCAAAUUUGAAAUCUGGCUACAUCCCGUAGUCCGAGUUGUAAUUUGUAGAGGAUGCUUUUGGUGAGGUGCCUUCCGAGUUCCCUGGAACGGGACGCCAUAGAGGGUGAGAGCCCCGUACGGUUGGAUACCAAACCUCUGUAUAGCUCCUUCAACGAGUCGAGUAGUUUGGGAAUGCUGCUCUAAAUGGGAGGUAUAUCUCUUCUAAAGCUAAAUAUAGGCUAGAGACCGAUAGCGCACAAGUAGAGUGAUCGAAAGAUGAAAAGCACUUUGAAAAGAGAGUUAAACAGCACGUGAAAUUGUUGAAAGGGAAGCGCCUAUGACCAGACUUGUUUCUGGCAGUUUCGUUAGCCCUCGGGCUGAUUUACUCUGUCCAGUACAGGCCAGCAUCAGUUUGCUGUCGGGGAGAAAGGCUCUGGGAACGUAGCUCCCCCCUUCUGGGGGGGAGUGUUAUAGCCCUCUGCAUAAUACCCUUUGGCAGACUGAGGACCGCGCUUCGGCAAGGAUGCUGGCGUAAUGGUCAUCAGCGACCCGUCUUGAAACACGGACCAAGGAGUCAACCUUAUGUGCGAGUGUUUGGGUGUAAAACCCCAGCGCGUAAUGAAAGUGAACGUAGGUGAGAGCUUCGGCGCAUCAUCGACCGAUUCUGAUGUUUUCGGAUGGAUUUGAGUAAGAGCACACAGGGUUGGACCCGAAAGAAGGUGAACUAUGCUUGUAUAGGGUGAAGCCAGAGGAAACUCUGGUGGAGGCUCGCAGCGGUUCUGACGUGCAAAUCGAUCGUCAAAUAUGAGCAUGGGGGCGAAAG